AACGAACGCUGGCGGCAUGCCUAACACAUGCAAGUCGAACGAGACCUUCGGGUCUAGUGGCGCACGGGUGCGUAACGCGUGGGAACCUGCCCUUAGGUUCGGCAUAACUCCCCGAGAGGGGUGCUAAUACCGGAUAAUGUCUUCGGACCAAAGAUUUAUCGCCUUUGGAUGGGCCCGCGUUGGAUUAGCUAGUUGGUAGGGUAAAAGCCUACCAAGGCGACGAUCCAUAGCUGGUCUGAGAGGAUGAUCAGCCACACUGGGACUGAGACACGGCCCAGACUCCUACGGGAGGCAGCAGUGGGGAAUAUUGGACAAUGGGCGAAAGCCUGAUCCAGCAAUGCCGCGUGAGUGAUGAAGGCCUUAGGGUUGUAAAGCUCUUUUACCCGGGAUGAUAAUGACAGUACCGGGAGAAUAAGCUCCGGCUAACUCCGUG
This 433-nucleotide ribosomal RNA is filed under the name uncultured bacterium. RNAcentral describes it as "partial 16S ribosomal RNA". It matches the Rfam family "Bacterial small subunit ribosomal RNA", at positions 29 to 507 of the family's 1533-position model. The record is from RNAcentral.